RNAcentral lists this ribosomal RNA (253 nucleotides) under uncultured bacterium. RNAcentral describes it as "partial 16S ribosomal RNA". It matches the Rfam family "Bacterial small subunit ribosomal RNA", at positions 524 to 776 of the family's 1533-position model. The record is from RNAcentral.
UACGAAGGGGGCUAGCGUUGCUCGGAUUGACUGGGCGUAAAGGGCGCGUAGGCGGUUCGUACAGUCAGACGUGAAAUUCCUGGGCUCAACCUGGGGGCUGCGUUUGAUACGUGCGGACUUGAGUGCGGAAGAGGGUCGUGGAAUUCCCAGUGUAGAGGUGAAAUUCGUAGAUAUUGGGAAGAACACCGGUGGCGAAGGCGGCGACCUGGUCCGAUACUGACGCUGAGGAGCGAAAGCGUGGGGAGCGAACAGG